Long non-coding RNA from Capsicum annuum, 2552 nucleotides. RefSeq lists it as uncharacterized. The transcript is spliced from 2 exons. Lineage: Eukaryota; Viridiplantae; Streptophyta; Magnoliopsida; Solanales; Solanaceae. The record is from RefSeq and is a predicted model, not a curated record.
UUCUUUCUCUCCUCUUUAGAGUAAUCCCAACCUUCUUCUUUUUUUCUCUUUUUGCUCUUCUCUUUCGCAUGAGGUUCCUUUCAAAUAUCAACAAAUAUAUAUCUUUUCUUAUCUAAAAUUAGUGUUUUGAUCCCUUCGCUUUUGACAUGGCAGAUAAAAUAUGUCUUCCAAAAAGAAAAGGAAGUGAAAGUGGAUCAACUUUUGCCCAACCAACAUAAAAGGCUAGAGUAGAGAUAGGUUCGAAGGAAUAAGCUGCUUGUAGAUGGAACCACUACAUAUGUGAGAGGUAUGUAUUACUAAUCAUGUUAUCGUGAAAACACACAUAAAUUACACUAAUUUUGUUAAUAUUAUUUUUUACCGAUUAGGGAUUGAUCAUUCAAAAAUGAUAUUGUAUUUUAUAGUUAAGUUUGAUAGGUCCAAACUGAUAAGGCUGAGGGACCAGGAAGGUGGUGCCAAUACCCUAUUUCGAUUUAAUAAUGGUUUUUCUAAUGUUAUGUGUUAAGUUUUGAGAAGGCAUCAUAUUUAUGGUGAUAAUGUAGAGAUUCAAUAGUGAUUGGACUGAUUUUAAGGGUUCAAUGGACUUUUGAAAGGCCUCCGAAGCAUUGCACUACUGCAAACAAAAAUGAAAAUUAAUAUAGUUAUUGUCUUUGUCUAAAUUUAUAUGGGUGAGUUGAUCGGGGUGAUGAUUAUACAACAGAAGGUGCUUAGGAGAAUAUCUGUGAGGGAAAGGGGAGGUGCUGAAAACUAUAUCAACUCAGACCUUAUUAAACAAGAAACAUAGGGUAGCAAAGAAUGUGUAGCGAAUCUGGCCAAUGAAAUUGACAUGAAAAAUGAAAAAAACUGAAUGAUCUAAAAAAUAAAAGUGUGUCAAAAAAUAAAAAUCCAUCACCCAUUGUUGAAAAGAAAAAUGGUGAAGAGGACUGGAGCUGUGCACUUUUCGAGGUAACUGUUACUAGUUAGCGUGGUUUGAAUAAUCACCUCCAAAGAAAGGAAUAGAACUCCAAUGAAGUAGCUUUGUGAGCAUCGAGGGUUAUAAAGACGUACAACUAGAAUAAAACUUGAACCAAGAACCUUUGAAGUAAAAAUAAGAGAUCAAGCCAAGGCGGUAAUUUCUAAAGUUAAACUUGCAUCCUAGGCCUUCUCUUUGUGGAUCUGGUUACGUCAAUUGCAGUGGAUACAAAAAGACAUGGGAUUUCUGCCCAACUUCAAACCAUUUUAUUUCCACUGCCACUGACCUGAUCAGACCACAAACAGAAGGCAUGGGAUGCAAGUUAGAAUUUAAAAAUUACCAACUUGGCUUGAUCCCUUAUUUUAACUUUAGCAGUUCUUGGUUUAAGUUUCAUUCUUGAUUGUACAUCUUUCCAACCCUCAGUGCUCACAAAGUUAUUUCCUAGGAUUUUUAUUUCAUUAUUUGGAGGUGAUCAUUUAGGCCACACUAACUAGUUUCAGUUACCUAAAAAAGUGUCUAGCUACAGUCCACUUUACCAUUUUUCUUUUCAAAGACAACUGACGAAUUUUCAUUUUGAAAUACACUUUCAUAUUUGUAGCUCAUUCUGAUUUUUCAUCUUUCAAGUUAAUAUUAUUGGUCAAAUUGGCUAGAAGUUCAUUGCUUGCUACCACAUGUUUAUUCCUUAAUAAGGUUUGAGAUGAUAUAAUCUUUAGCAACUCCCCUUUACCGCGCAUAUAUUCUCCUACAAUAUGUUCUGCUGUGUAAUCGUCUUCUCGAGCAACCCAUCCAUAUAAAUUUGGACCAAGGGAAUUUCUAUUGGUUUUGCAUUCUUGUUUACUACACUAGGAUCCUUUGAAGGCCUUCUUAAACUCCAUUACACUAUUAAAACUAGUGCAAUCACUAUUGAGUCUCUAUAAUGCCAUCAAAUAUUGAUCCUUUCUCAAAACUUGACGCAUAAAUAUGAGCAAAACUGUUAUUAAAUUAUAACAGGGUAUCGACACAUCUUAUUGGACCCUUUGGCCUUAUCAGUUUACUCUUAUCAAACUUAACUGUAAGAUGCAAGAUCUUGUUUGAAGGAUCAAUGCCUAAUCGAUAAAAAACUGCAUUCACAAAAUAAUUGUACUUUAUAUGUGUUGUCACGAUAACCUGACCAGUAAUACAUAACUCCUACGCAUGAAAAUAGAUCCAUCCAUCUGCACACCCAUUAUUCUUCCUACCCCAUCAAUGUCAAAUAGUGUUUAAUCUUCAGUUCCCAUCGCGAAGUAGUGUAUAAAACUACAGAGGCUCAAAGGAUAACCAUAUUAAAAACCUUUCUUCUUAAUCUUCUGGGAAGGGUAACAACAAUCUCGAAAACUAAAAACCUAAUAGAGAGAAACCCUUGCUACUACUGGAUUGAGUUAUUCCAAUAGAUGACCCAUCUGUUACAACAAAUGAAAAAUCUAUUGGACUACAUGCCCGUAAAAAAAAAGUGCCCCAUGUGUAAUGCACCAUGAUAUUUGUAAUAGUAAACUUAGUUUGUUGAUUGUUAUGGACUUUGAUAAUUUUAACUCAUUGUUGAGGAUGUAAAUGUUAUUAUUUAUUACAUAAAAUAUAUUUUUAUUAA